GUGGGGAAUAUUGGACAAUGGGGGGAACCCUGAUCCAGCCAUGCCGCGUGUGUGAAGAAGGCCUUUUGGUUGUAAAGCACUUUAAGCGAGGAGGAGGCUACCGAGAUUAAUACUCUUGGAUAGUGGACGUUACUCGCAGAAUAAGCACCGGCUAACUCUGUGCCAGCAGCCGCGGUAAUACAGAGGGUGCAAGCGUUAAUCGGAUUUACUGGGCGUAAAGCGCGCGUAGGUGGCCAAUUAAGUCAAAUGUGAAAUCCCCGAGCUUAACUUGGGAAUUGCAUUCGAUACUGGUUGGCUAGAGUAUGGGAGAGGAUGGUAGAAUUCCAGGUGUAGCGGUGAAAUGCGUAGAGAUCUGGAGGAAUACCGAUGGCGAAGGCAGCCAUCUGGCCUAAUACUGACACUGAGGUGCGAAAGCAUUGGGAGCAAACAGGAUUAGAAACCCGGGUAGUCC
RNAcentral lists this ribosomal RNA (451 nucleotides) under uncultured bacterium. Its description in RNAcentral is "partial 16S ribosomal RNA". It matches the Rfam family "Bacterial small subunit ribosomal RNA", at positions 354 to 796 of the family's 1533-position model. The record is from RNAcentral.